Eucalyptus grandis is the source of this 1890-nucleotide RNA transcript. It is a transcript of the gene named probable galacturonosyltransferase-like 1, with no coding region annotated. NCBI's taxonomy places the organism in Eukaryota, Viridiplantae, Streptophyta, Magnoliopsida, Myrtales, Myrtaceae. The transcript has a single exon. The record is from RefSeq and is a predicted model, not a curated record.
CCUUCUCUCCUUUUUCUUUUUGAAAAAAGAACAAUAAAAUUCGAAUUAAAUAGUAAAAAGAUACGCCGAAACCGUGUUCCAAUCUUCAGACAUCAUUUAAAAACGCCCCUCAUUCAUCCCCCCCUCUAGGCUCUCUAUCUAUCUGCCCUCCACUCAAUACAAAAACGAGUUCCAAGAAGCCAGAGCCACCCCCCCAGGUCCCAACCCUCGUCUUUCCCAAAUCCCCUCCGGUCUACUCUUAAUGCCUCUGCCUAGUAGCAAAGCUCUCCUCUCCCUCUCCCUCCUCCUCCUCUUGUCGAUCUCCGCCGCCGUCGCCAAUGGCGGCGGCGCCCCCGCAUCCGCCACCAUCGACCCGGGACGAUUCAAAGAAGCCCCGGAAUUCUACAACUCCCCAGCCUGCCCUUCCCUCCUCAACGCCUCCAGCGACGGCAACGGCGACGACGACAGCGAGGGCUGCGACGGCGAAGACGAUGUGAUCUGCUCGGAGACGGCGGUCCACGUGGCGAUGACCCUGGACGUCGCCUACAUCCGGGGCUCCAUGGCGGCCAUCCUCUCCGUCCUCCAGCACUCCACCUGCCCCCAGAACGUGAUCUUCCACUUCGUCUACUCGGCCGCCACCGCCGACGCGUCCCUCCUCCGCGCCACCGUGUCCUCCUCCUUCCCCUACCUCCGCUUCCAGCUCCACCCCUUCGACGCCUCCGCCGUCUCGGGGCUCAUCUCCACCUCCAUCCGCUCCGCCCUCGACUGCCCCCUCAACUACGCCCGCUCCUACCUCGCCAACCUCCUCCCGCUCUGCGUCCGCCGCGUCGUCUACCUCGACUCCGACCUCGUCCUCGUCGACGACAUCGCCUCCCUCGCCGCCACCCCGCUCGACCCCGGCUCCGCCGUCCUCGCCGCCCCGGAGUACUGCAACGCCAACUUCACCUCCUACUUCACCCCGACCUUCUGGUCCAGCCCCUCCCUCCCCCUCACCUUCGCCGGCCGCCGCAGCCGGCCCUGCUACUUCAACACCGGCGUCAUGGUCAUCGACCUCGACCGGUGGCGCGCCGGCGGGUACACGGCCAAGAUCGAGGAGUGGAUGGAGCUCCAGAAGCGGAUGCGGAUCUACGAGCUCGGCUCGCUCCCGCCCUUCCUGCUGGUGUUCGCCGGGGAGAUCGCGCCGGUGGACCACCGGUGGAACCAGCACGGCCUCGGCGGCGACAACUUCCGGGGGCUGUGCCGGGACCUGCACCCGGCCCGGUCAGCCUCCUGCAUUGGAGCGGCAAGGGGAAGCCGUGGGCGCGGCUCGACGCCAACCGGCCGUGCCCCUUGGACGCCUUGUGGGCUCCUUACGAUCUCUUGCGCACUCCCUUCUCACUGGACUCCUGAUCCAGAACCAGGAAACCCGACAUCCCCCGCCGCCGCUGCCCGAAGCGCGAACUCGAUCCACGGUCGACCACCACGACGGCGCGUCGCGGAGUUUGUGUAGAUAACGCACGCACGCUCUCUCCGGAGAUGCAGGUGGGCGUGUAAUUCCAUAAUUUUUGAGACGCUACUACCGGCUUGAUGGAUCGACGACGGCGGCGUCACUUGAUCGGCGUCCUAUAGUUUGAUUAGCGAUUACAUAUGUUGGAAAAAAAUAUAUGAAAUUCAAUUGUAACAAUAAGGAGGAGAUCCAGAAAAAUAUCUGGGAUCUUUUCGAUGUUUUUCUUUUUGGAAAAAUUUUUACGCUCCGGCAGAGAUUUAUCAUCCUGUACAUGUACCCUAAGCCUGUAUAGCAAGAACUGUAGAGCUAUUUUGAGGUGGAUUCAUGAACAGUUGUUGAUUUUAUAUCCGCUAAUAGCCUAAUACAAAAGAUCUUACUUGUAGAGGGAAUUAUCCGGUUCAAAAAUAAUCAGCCAGCUUGCAGUU